UGGGGAAUCUUCCGCAAUGGGCGCAAGCCUGACGGAGCAACGCCGCGUGAGUGAAGAAGGUCUUCGGAUCGUAAAGCUCUGUUGAUGGGGACGAACGUGCCUAAUGCGAAUAGUAUUAGGUAAUGACGGUACCCAUCGAGGAAGCCACGGCUAACUACGUGCCAGCAGCCGCGGUAAUACGUAGGUGGCGAGCGUUGUCCGGAAUCAUUGGGCGUAAAGGGAGCGCAGGCGGGCAUGUAAGUCUUUCUUAAAAGUGCGGGGCUCAACCCCGUGAUGGGAAAGAAACUAUGUGUCUUGAGUACAGGAGAGGAAAGCGGAAUUCCCAGUGUAGCGGUGAAAUGCGUAGAUAUUGGGAGGAACACCAGUGGCGAAGGCGGCUUUCUGGACUGCAACUGACGCUGAGGCUCGAAAGCCAGGGGAGCGAGCGGG
RNAcentral lists this ribosomal RNA (429 nucleotides) under bacterium. RNAcentral's name for it is "partial 16S ribosomal RNA". It matches the Rfam family "Bacterial small subunit ribosomal RNA", at positions 355 to 776 of the family's 1533-position model. The record is from RNAcentral.